This 336-nucleotide ribosomal RNA is filed under the name Centruroides sculpturatus (bark scorpion). RNAcentral describes it as "partial 12S ribosomal RNA". Lineage: Eukaryota; Metazoa; Arthropoda; Arachnida; Scorpiones; Buthidae. The record is from RNAcentral.
UAAAGAGUGUAAAAUUUAGGUAGUAUUAGAUGGCUUAAAACUUAAAAAAUUUGGCGGUGUUUUAAUCUUAUUAGAGGAACCUGUUUUGUAAUCGAUAAUACACGACAAAUCUUACUUAAGUUGGGGCUUGUAUAUCGUUGUGAUAAUAAUGUUUUAUAAUUAUUAUUAGGGGUAAUUUUAUUUUUGAUAUCAGAUCAAGGUUCAGUUUAUGCUUAAGGAGAAAAUGGGUUACAAUAUAAAAAUAUACUAUGAAAUUUAUACUUUAAAUAUAGAGGAAAGAGGAUUUAAAAGUAUUUUUAUAAUAAUAUGUUAAUUUGAAUUGGCUCUAAAACAUGC